GGAGGUAGUGACAAUAAAUCUCAAUACGAAGCCUUUGGUUUUGUAAUUGAAUUGAGAACAAUGUACAAUCGUUAUCGAUAAACAAUUGGAGGGCAAGUCUGGUGCCAGCAGCCGCGGUAAUUCCAGCUCCAAUAGCGUAUAUUAACGUUGUUGCAGUUAAAAAGCUCGUAGUUGAAGUUAAGAUGAUUUGUUGAGAGUGUUAGUAUUCGUACUAUCUGCUCUCUUUAGAUUAUCGACUUCCAGGUAAGCUCAAUAAUCCCUCCGGGGACUAUCGAGCCAGACUGGUCUUUUACUGUGAGAAAAUUAGAGUGUUUAAAGCAGACUUUUUUAGUUUGAAUAGAUUAGCAUGGAAUAAUAAGAUUGGCUUUCAUAGUCGAUUUUUUGGUUUGUUUAUGAAAGCAAGAUUAAUAGGGACAGUUGGGGGUAUUCAUAUUCAAUAGCUAGAGGUGAAAUUCUAUGAUUUAUGGAAGAUGAACAAGUGCGAAAGCA
RNAcentral lists this ribosomal RNA (489 nucleotides) under Blastocystis sp. RNAcentral's name for it is "SSU rRNA". It matches the Rfam family "Eukaryotic small subunit ribosomal RNA", at positions 460 to 953 of the family's 1831-position model. The record is from RNAcentral. Lineage: Eukaryota; Bigyra; Opalinata; Blastocystidae.